AGCGAACGUUAGCGGCGGGCCUAACACAUGCAAGUCGAACGAGAAUGAGGGGGCAACUCCUCUAGUAAAGUGGCGGACGGGUGCGUAACACGUGGGUAAUCUACCUUCCGGCGGGGGACAACAGUCCGAAAGGAUUGCUAAUACCGCGUACGUCAGCGAGGUCUACGGAUCUUGUUGGGAAAGAUGGCCUCUCCUUGGAAGCUGUCACCGGAAGAUGAGCCCGCGGCCCAUCAGCUAGUGGUGAGGUAAUGGCUCACCAAGGCUUAGACGGGUAGCUGGUCUGAGAGGAUGAUCAGCCACACUGGGACUGCGACACGGCCCAGACUCCUACGGGAGGCAGCAGUGGGGAAUAUUGGGCAAUGGGCGCAAGCCUGACCCAGCCACGCUGCGUGAGUGAUGAAGGCCUUCGGUCGUAAG
Molecule: ribosomal RNA, 417 nt
Filed under: uncultured bacterium
Lineage: Bacteria
Description: bacterial SSU rRNA
Rfam family: Bacterial small subunit ribosomal RNA
Source: RNAcentral